UCUGGGAACAGUGGUGUAGGUCUGUAAUCCCAGUGACUUGGAAGGCUGAGGCAGGAGGAUCGUGAGUUCAAACUUAUCCUCAGUUUAGUGAGGGUCUAAACAACUCAGUGAGAUCCUGUCUCUA
This 124-nucleotide small RNA is filed under the name Marmota monax (woodchuck). Lineage: Eukaryota; Metazoa; Chordata; Mammalia; Rodentia; Sciuridae. The record is from RNAcentral.